Molecule: long non-coding RNA, 608 nt
Organism: Bos taurus (domestic cattle)
Lineage: Eukaryota; Metazoa; Chordata; Mammalia; Artiodactyla; Bovidae
Source: Ensembl
AAACUUGGCAACAAGCAUUGGUUCAUCAAUGAAAUCCUUUACUAGUUUAUUCUGACAGUUUCUAACUCUCUGAGAGGCUCUAAGCUAUUUGAAUAUCUUAAGCUUCCCGUGCCUCUUGAGGCUGGGAGACUGUAAACAAUCGUAUGCAUAGCUGUAGGAGUCCGGGUAAACUUGUCAGGUAAGUUAGAGAACCAUCUGAGGGGUUUGGAUUUAAACACUCCUAAUUGCCCAGGAACUUUAUUAAUUGGAGCUGUAAGUUAACUCUUUGACAGAGAGCGAGAGAUGGUGGUAGGGGACAGCCCCAAGUAAAGUCAGAGACCUAGGACCCACCUACUUCUGCCUCCAACCCUGUACAUUACAGAUCAAGCGUGAAGCCUGUUCCUACCUUCACUCAUUCCUCUCAGACCUUCUCCUGGACCUAAAAAUAAGGAACUACAACUUGUGCGUGCAAUGUUCUCUGAACCUCCUUAUGGACCAAGGAAGAGCAUAACCCUGCACUGACUUCAUUUUCAUUCACAGUCUCAAAGAACAGUUUAUACAACCAACUCAUGCCUUUCCCAAAUUUACUAUAAGACUAGAUUAAGUCACUGAAAAAAAUUACCAAAGUA